RNAcentral lists this ribosomal RNA (485 nucleotides) under uncultured bacterium. RNAcentral describes it as "bacterial SSU rRNA". It matches the Rfam family "Bacterial small subunit ribosomal RNA", at positions 28 to 526 of the family's 1533-position model. The record is from RNAcentral.
GACGAACGCUGGCGGCGUGCCUAACACAUGCAAGUCGAACGAGGAUAGAGGAGCUUGCUCUUCUAUUCUAGUGGCGGACGGGUGAGUAACACGUGAGUAACCUGCCUUUCAGAGGGGGAUAACGUCUGGAAACGGACGCUAAUACCGCAUAACAUAGAGGUGUCGCAUGGCGCUUUUAUCAAAUGAGCAAUCCGCUGAGAGAUGGACUCGCGCCCGAUUAGCUAGUUGGUGGGGUAAAGGCCUACCAAGCCGACGAUCGGUAGCCGGACUGAGAGGUUGAACGGCCACAUUGGGACUGAGACACGGCCCAGACUCCUACGGGAGGCAGCAGUGGGGGAUAUUGCACAAUGGGGGAAACCCUGAUGCAGCGACGCCGCGUGGGUGAAGACGGCCUUCGGGUUGUAAAGCCCUGUUGACGGGGACGAUAAUGACGGUACCCGUUCAGAAAGCCACGGCUAACUACGUGCCAGCCGCCGCGGUAAUAC